This 74-nucleotide transfer RNA is filed under the name Candidatus Brocadiia bacterium. RNAcentral describes it as "tRNA-Leu". Lineage: Bacteria; Pseudomonadati; Planctomycetota; Candidatus Brocadiia. The record is from RNAcentral.
GCCCCCGCAGCCCGGAUCGUGGAGGUCCAUGAUGGAGGGUCAUGGAUGUGCAGGUUCGAGUCCUGCCCGGGGCA